RNAcentral lists this ribosomal RNA (1302 nucleotides) under Akashiwo sanguinea. RNAcentral's name for it is "LSU rRNA". It matches the Rfam family "Eukaryotic large subunit ribosomal RNA", at positions 99 to 1422 of the family's 3401-position model. The record is from RNAcentral. Lineage: Eukaryota; Dinophyceae; Gymnodiniales; Gymnodiniaceae.
UGGGAUGAGCUCACCAUGGGAAUCGGGGUCCUCGACCUUGAAUUGUAGUCUUGAGACGCACUGCCAACAAAGGCGCAGGUGUAAGCCUCUUGGAAGAGAGCAUCGCAGAGGGUGAGAGUCCCGUCUGUCACCUGCAGCCCCUUGUGUACGGCAUGCGUUCUGAGAGUCACGUUCCUCGGGAUUGGAGCGCAAAUUGGGUGGUAAGUUUCACCUCAAGCUAAAUAUUGGUCCGAGACCGAUAGCAAACAAGUACCAUGAGGGAAAGGUGAAAAGGACUUUGAAAAGAGAGUUAAAAGUGCUUGAAAUUGCUGAAAGGGAAGCGAAUGGAACCAGUUCUGCUGGGCGAGAUUGUCGCAUGCCAAGGCCUCGUGCCGGCCGCAUGCGGUGCUUCUUGCCUUGUGUGUCAGCUGCGGUCCGAAGUCGGGGAAAACUCUGGGGACAUGGAUGCCAACCUCCGGGGGGGUGAAUGUGCCUGGCAAGACCCGUCCUCGGACCGUGAGCAGUGCUUCGGCAUGUUUGCGGUGCUGACGAAAUGCUUCUAUUCGACCCGUCUUGAAACACGGACCGAGGAGUCUAACAUGUGUGCGAGUUCACGGGUGUCAAACCUGCUUGCGCAAUGAAAGUGACUGCUGGGAUACUUGCACCAGCAACCGAUCUGUCAACCGAGAGAGAUUUGAGUUUGAGCAUACCUGUUAGGACCCGAAAGAUGGUGAACUAUGCUUGUGUAGGGCAAAGCCAGGGGAAACUCUGGUGGAGGCUCGUAGCGAUACUGACGUGCAAAUCGUUCGUCAAACAUGAGUAUAGGGGCGAAAGACUAAUCGAACCAUCUAGUAGCUGGUUCCCUCCGAAGUUUCCCUCAGGAUAGCUGGAGUUGAACAGUUUUAUCAGGUAAAGCGAAUGAUUAGAGGAAUCGGGGACGUGUUGUCCUCGACCUAUUCUCAAACUUUAAAUGGGUAAGAUCCAACAGUUGCUUAAUUGAACUGUUGGGGCAAAUGUGAACUCUAAGUGGGCCAUUUUUGGUAAGCAGAACUGGCGAUGAGGGAUGAACCUAACGUUGGGUUAAGGUGCUUAACUGCUCGCUCAUCAGAUACCAUAAAGGGUGUUGGUUCAUUUUAACAGCAGGACGGUGGUCAUGGAAGUCGAAAUCCGCUAAGGAGUGUGUAACAACUCACCUGCCGAAUGGACUAGCCCCGAAAAUGGAUGGCGCUCAAGCGGGUGACUGAUACCCAACCAUUGUUGCAAUUGUGCGGCAUCAAUGAGUAGGAGGGCAUGGGGGCCUGUGAUGAUGCUUUUGGCGUAAGC